AGGUGUUUGCUCUUGGCAAUGGUCAGUUUGAUUUUGCCUGAGAUUAGAAGCUCCUCCUUUUCACCUGCUAUUUCACAUCUUGUUAAAUAGGGUUCCUGUAUUGAAGUCCAAGUAAUUGCAUGUGUGCAUGCCUACACAUGUGCAUGCAUAAGUUUUCAUAGCCUAAGUUAGUACAAAAAGAUGUUGGGGAAUAGACAUAAAACUACAUUUUACUUUGAG
Molecule: unclassified non-coding RNA, 219 nt
Filed under: Hevea brasiliensis (rubber tree)
Lineage: Eukaryota; Viridiplantae; Streptophyta; Magnoliopsida; Malpighiales; Euphorbiaceae
Source: RNAcentral